GCCCCCGUGGUGAAACUGGAUAUCACGAGUGACUACGGAUCACUUGUUUCGGGUUCGAAUCCUGACGGGGGUG
This 73-nucleotide transfer RNA is filed under the name Chlorobiota bacterium. RNAcentral describes it as "tRNA-Arg". It matches the Rfam family "tRNA". Rfam says of the family: Transfer RNA (tRNA) molecules are approximately 80 nucleotides in length. Their secondary structure includes four short double-helical elements and three loops (D, anti-codon, and T loops). Lineage: Bacteria; Pseudomonadati; Chlorobiota. The record is from RNAcentral.